GAUGAACGCUGGCGGCGUGCCUAAUACAUGCAAGUCGAGCGAACGGACGAGAAGCUUGCUUCUCUGAUGUUAGCGGCGGACGGGUGAGUAACACGUGGAUAACCUACCUAUAAGACUGGGAUAACUUCGGGAAACCGGAGCUAAUACCGGAUAAUAUUUUGAACCGCAUGGUUCAAAAGUGAAAGACGGUCUUGCUGUCACUUAUAGAUUGAUCCGCGCUGCAUUAGCUAGUUGGUAAGGUAACGGCUUACCAAGGCAACGAUGCAUAGCCGACCUGAGAGGGUGAUCGGCCACACUGGAACUGAGACACGGUCCAGACUCCGACGGGAGGCAGCAGUAGGGAAUCUUCCGCAAGGGGCGAAAGCCUGACGGAGCAACGCCGCGUGAGUGAUGAAGGUCUUCGGAUCGUAAAACUCUGUUAUUAGGGAAGAACAUAUGUGUAAGUAACUGCGCACAUCUUGACGGUACCUAAUCAGAAAGCCACGGCUAACUACGUG
Molecule: ribosomal RNA, 497 nt
Filed under: uncultured bacterium
Lineage: Bacteria
Description: partial 16S ribosomal RNA
Rfam family: Bacterial small subunit ribosomal RNA
Source: RNAcentral